Long non-coding RNA from Hemicordylus capensis (graceful crag lizard), 592 nucleotides. RefSeq lists it as uncharacterized. The record is from RefSeq and is a predicted model, not a curated record. The transcript has 4 exons. Lineage: Eukaryota; Metazoa; Chordata; Lepidosauria; Squamata; Cordylidae.
CCGUGGAACUUGCUGGGAGCUGCCUCAGUGGCCAAGCAGCAGGGAGGGGCUCUCCUCUCCUGCAACUGAAGUUUGGUGGGCCGCAGUUUGACGAAUGUCUGCUGCGCGAUUUUGAGUUACAAACUUACACUUUGGCUACAAUUACCCCUGGUUAGCCGUUGUGUGUGAACCCAGCCUAAGUGUCAACAGAGAAGGAAGCAAGAGGCUGUGAAUGCUGGAGACAGGAUGCUGGCCUGGAAUGCUAUUCGUUUGAGACUACGAAGAAUACUGGAGGAUACGUGUUUGGCUCAGCUCAUCAGUUUUGUUAUGAUGCACAACCAGUGGUUCCAUCGGUGAAUUGUACACCCCCUUCAAGAGACACAUCCAGACACUUCAGGCCUAAAUAAGCAUCACUAGAUGCAGAUACAUAUCUAAGCCAGCUUCCAUGCACAGAUCUUUCUUUGCUAAAUCAUGAUACCUGUAUUUUAACCCACUUGUUAUUAAGUUCCCAUGCUUGCUUAUAUAACACUUUAUUUACACCAUGUAUGGCUUGUUUUACAACUGGCAGUGUAAUCCUGCCUUGUGAGAAAUCUUUAACUUUCCAUAUAAAUGA